This 116-nucleotide microRNA precursor is filed under the name Bigelowiella natans CCMP2755. RNAcentral's name for it is "miRNA EPrBNAG00000013438". Lineage: Eukaryota; Cercozoa; Chlorarachniophyceae. The record is from RNAcentral.
UGAUGAUGAUAAUGAUGAUGAUGAUGAUAAUGAUGAUAGUUAAUACAGAAGUGCCAACGCCACGCGUCGAUAUCAUCCCCCUAUCAUCAUAGUCUACGUUAUCAUUAUCAUCACCU